AGAGUUUGAUCAUGGCUCAGAUUGAACGCUGGCGGCAGGCCUAACACAUGCAAGUCGAGCGGUAGCACAGAGAGCUUGCUCUCGGGUGACGAGCGGCGGACGGGUGAGUAAUGUCUGGGAAACUGCCUGAUGGAGGGGGAUAACUACUGGAAACGGUAGCUAAUACCGCAUAACGUCGCAAGACCAAAGUGGGGGACCUUCGGGCCUCAUGCCAUCAGAUGUGCCCAGAUGGGAUUAGCUAGUAGGUGGGGUAACGGCUCACCUAGGCGACGAUCCCUAGCUGGUCUGAGAGGAUGACCAGCCACACUGGAACUGAGACACGGUCCAGACUCCUACGGGAGGCAGCAGUGGGGAAUAUUGCACAAUGGGCGCAAGCCUGAUGCAGCCAUGCCGCGUGUGUGAAGAAGGCCUUCGGGUUGUAAAGCACUUUCAGCGGGGAGGAAGGCGAUAAGGUUAAUAACCUUGUCGAUUGACGUUACCCGCAGAAGAAGCACCGGCUAACUCCGUGCCAGCAGCCGCGGUAAUACGGAGGGUGCAAGCGUUAAUCGGAAUUACUGGGCGUAAAGCGCACGCAGGCGGUCUGUCAAGUCGGAUGUGAAAUCCCCGGGCUCAACCUGGGAACUGCAUUCGAAACUGGCAGGCUAGAGUCUUGUAGAGGGGGGUAGAAUUCCAGGUGUAGCGGUGAAAUGCGUAGAGAUCUGGAGGAAUACCGGUGGCGAAGGCGGCCCCCUGGACAAAGACUGACGCUCAGGUGCGAAAGCGUGGGGAGCAAACAGGAUUAGAUACCCUGGUAGUCCACGCCGUAAACGAUGUCGAUUUGGAGGUUGUGCCCUUGAGGCGUGGCUUCCGGAGCUAACGCGUUAAAUCGACCGCCUGGGGAGUACGGCCGCAAGGUUAAAACUCAAAUGAAUUGACGGGGGCCCGCACAAGCGGUGGAGCAUGUGGUUUAAUUCGAUGCAACGCGAAGAACCUUACCUGGUCUUGACAUCCACAGAACUUAGCAGAGAUGCUUUGGUGCCUUCGGGAACUGUGAGACAGGUGCUGCAUGGCUGUCGUCAGCUCGUGUUGUGAAAUGUUGGGUUAAGUCCGCAACGAGCGCAACCCUUAUCCUUUGUUGCCAGCGGUUAGGCCGGGAACUCAAAGGAGACUGCCAGUGAUAAACUGGAGGAAGGUGGGGAUGACGUCAAGUCAUCAUGGCCCUUACGACCAGGGCUACACACGUGCUACAAUGGCAUAUACAAAGAGAAGCGACCUCGCGAGAGCAAGCGGACCUCAUAAAGUAUGUCGUAGUCCGGAUUGGAGUCUGCAACUCGACUCCCAUGAAGUCGGAAUCGCUAGUAAUCGUAGAUCAGAAUGCUACGGUGAAUACGUUCCCGGGCCUUGUACACACCGCCCGUCACACCAUGGGAGUGGGUUGCAAAAGAAGUAGGUAGCUUAACCUUCGGGAGGGCGCUUACCACUUUGUGAUUCAUGACUGGGGUGAAGUCGUAACAAGGUAACCGUAGGGGAACCUGCGGUUGGAUCACCU
Molecule: ribosomal RNA, 1528 nt
Filed under: Klebsiella pneumoniae subsp. rhinoscleromatis
Lineage: Bacteria; Pseudomonadati; Pseudomonadota; Gammaproteobacteria; Enterobacterales; Enterobacteriaceae
Description: bacterial SSU rRNA
Rfam family: Bacterial small subunit ribosomal RNA
Source: RNAcentral